Solea solea (common sole) is the source of this 759-nucleotide long non-coding RNA. RefSeq lists it as uncharacterized. The transcript is spliced from 3 exons. Lineage: Eukaryota; Metazoa; Chordata; Actinopteri; Pleuronectiformes; Soleidae. The record is from RefSeq and is a predicted model, not a curated record.
CAAUCAUCAACUUUAAUCUGACUUCCUCGAUGACCCUGUAAUUGGGGCUGACACUUUAAAAAAAAAAGCCUAAAGCAUAAGAAAAAUAAAAAUAUGUAUUAGUUUAAUGCAAGAAAGUUAAACAAGUUAAGAAAAGAAAGCAUGAUUUGGAGGUUCCUGUCAGUUAGUAUGCAGCUGGUGCACUGGAGGAGGUGAAGGACACACUACGGAUCUUUUGAGCGGAGGGGAAUCUGAUGAUGGCAACACGAGGGUCAAGACCUCAAGACGUCGUCAAAGCUAAAAUUCUGUCGCAUCCCAUCAAAGAACCGCAGCACACAGAGUCAAAAUAGCCAGCAUGGCAUUGCGAAGCUUUUGACACGGAGGUAGGAAACUGCAAGGCGCAGCACGGACAGCUUGUCCAGCUUGGAGAUGACAUCCGGGGGGAACGGCAGCAGGCUGGCCAGCCGGUCCAGCUCAGCAUUCAGCCUGUCCCGAUGCCGCUUGGACGGGUUGGUUUUCUCAUUGGCAGUGGACGGCUUCCUGAGGAUGAGACAGACAAAAACGAAAUGGUUUUAAAAUGCUAUUCUUCUCUUUAUGGCAAGGAAGUUUAAACGCAGUCAUGAGAGAUUAUAAACUGUGGCUAUUGAGAGAGUGUAUUUAAUGUAUCUUAGCAUUAAAAACUUCCACACUCAUAUCCACUCUGGGUGAAAUGUAAAGCAAUACCUGAGUCAAAUGCAUCCUGACUUUUUUUUUUGCGAUCACAGUAAACUGUAAACUGUU